RNAcentral lists this ribosomal RNA (783 nucleotides) under uncultured bacterium. RNAcentral's name for it is "bacterial SSU rRNA". It matches the Rfam family "Bacterial small subunit ribosomal RNA", at positions 62 to 857 of the family's 1533-position model. The record is from RNAcentral.
UUGAGCGGAGAUAUAUGGAGCUUGCUUUAUAUAACUUAGCAGCGAACGGGUGAGUAACACGUAGAUAAUCUAUCCUAUACUGGGGGAUAGCCCGAUGAAAGUUGGAUUAAUACCGCAUAUAGCUAUAUAGUUGCAUGAUUAUGUAGUGAAAGAUUUAUUGGUAUAGGAGGAGUCUGCGGCACAUUAGCUAGUAGGUGAGGUAAAGGCUUACCUAGGCGACGAUGUGUAGCCGGUCUGAGAGGAUGAACGGCCACAAUGGAACUGAGACACGGUCCAUACUCCUACGGGAGGCAGCAGUGGGGAAUAUUGCACAAUGGGGGAAACCCUGAUGCAGCAACGCCGCGUGAGUGAAGAAGGUUUUCGGAUUGUAAAGCUCUGUUAGCAGGGAAGAGGAAGGACGGUACCUGCAGAGGAAGCCACGGCUAACUACGUGCCAGCAGCCGCGGUAAUACGUAGGUGGCAAGCGUUGUUCGGAAUAACUGGGCGUAAAGGAUGCGUAGGCGGUUAAACAAGUUAUAUGUUAAAUAUAUAGGCUUAACCUGUAGAAAGCAUAUAAAACUGUUUAACUAGAGUGCAGGAGAGGUAAGUGGAAUUCCUAGUGUAGCGGUGAAAUGCGUAGAGAUUAGGAAGAACACCAGUGGCGAAGGCGACUUACUGGACUGUAACUGACGCUGAGGCAUGAGAGCAUGGGGAGCAAACAGGAUUAGAUACCCUGGUAGUCCAUGCUGUAAACGAUGGGUACUAGGUGUGGGUUGUGAAUAACAAUUCGUGCCGUCGCAAACG